RNAcentral lists this ribosomal RNA (339 nucleotides) under uncultured bacterium. RNAcentral describes it as "bacterial SSU rRNA". It matches the Rfam family "Bacterial small subunit ribosomal RNA", at positions 1109 to 1450 of the family's 1533-position model. The record is from RNAcentral.
CCUUAGUUGCCAUCAUUUAGUUGGGCACUUUAAGGAAACUGCCGGUGAUAAGCCGGAGGAAGGUGGGGAUGACGUCAAGUCCUCAUGGCCCUUACAGGCUGGGCUACACACGUGCUGCAAUGGCAUCUACAGUGGGCAGCUAUCCCGCAAGGGUGAGCUAAUCUCCAAAAGAUGUCUCAGUUCGGAUUGUCCUCUGCAACUCGAGGGCAUGAAGGCGGAAUCGCUAGUAAUCGCGGAUCAGCAUGCCGCGGUGAAUACGUUCCCAGGCCUUGUACACACCGCCCGUCACACCAUGGGAGUUGGAUUCACCCGAAGGCAGUGCGCUAACCGCAAGGAGGG